This 223-nucleotide unclassified non-coding RNA is filed under the name fungal sp. RNAcentral's name for it is "partial internal transcribed spacer region". The stretch from base 1 to 46 matches the Rfam family "Eukaryotic small subunit ribosomal RNA", at positions 1786 to 1831 of the family's 1831-position model. The record is from RNAcentral. Lineage: Eukaryota; Fungi.
AAGUCGUAACAAGGUUUCCGUAGGUGAACCUGCGGAAGGAUCAUUAACACGUAUCCAACGUUAAAACAACCCUGUGAACCUUCAAUCUUGCUCGCGUGGCUCCAUGAAAGCAGCAAGGGUCACCAUGCCCCUUAAAUCACCACACUGUAACGCCGACAGGUCGCGAUAAUUCCGCUGACCACAAAAAACCGAACAACUGUUAACAAUGGAUAUCUUGGUUCUC